AGAAUCAACGCUGGCGGCGUGCCUAACACAUGCAAGUCGAACGAGAAAGGGUAGCAAUACCUGAGUACAGUGGCGCACGGGUGAGUAACACGUGACUAACCUACCCUGGAGUGGGGAAUAACUGAGGGAAACCUUAGCUAAUACCGCAUAAUACCUACGGGUCAAAGGAGCAAUUCGCUUCAGGAGGGGUCGCGGCCGAUUAGCUAGUUGGCGGGUAAUGGCCCACCAAGGCAAUGAUCGGUA
Molecule: ribosomal RNA, 243 nt
Filed under: uncultured bacterium
Lineage: Bacteria
Description: partial small subunit ribosomal RNA
Rfam family: Bacterial small subunit ribosomal RNA
Source: RNAcentral